AGGACGAACGCUGGCGGCGUGCUUAACACAUGCAAGUCGAGCGGUAAGGCCUUUCGGGGUACACGAGCGGCGAACGGGUGAGUAACACGUGGGUGAUCUGCCCUGCACUUCGGGAUAAGCCUGGGAAACUGGGUCUAAUACCGGAUAUGACCUCCUAUCGCAUGGUGGGUGGUGGAAAGAUUUAUCGGUGCAGGAUGGGCCCGCGGCCUAUCAGCUUGUUGGUGGGUAAUGGCCUACCAAGGCGACGACGGGUAGCCGACCUGAGAGGUGACCGGCCACACUGGGACUGAGACACGGCCCAGACUCCUACGGGAGGCAGCAGUGGGGAAUAUUGCACAAGUGGGCGAAAGGCCUGAUGCAGCGACGCCGCGUGAGGGAUGGACGGUCCGUUCGGGUUCGUAAACCUUCUUUCGAGCAGGGACGAAGCGACAAGGUGACGUACCUGCAGAAGAGCACGCUAACUA
RNAcentral lists this ribosomal RNA (464 nucleotides) under uncultured soil bacterium. RNAcentral's name for it is "bacterial SSU rRNA". It matches the Rfam family "Bacterial small subunit ribosomal RNA", at positions 26 to 503 of the family's 1533-position model. The record is from RNAcentral.